CAGCAGCCGCGGUAAUACGAAGGGGGCUAGCGUUGCUCGGAAUGACUGGGCGUAAAGGGCUCGUAGGCGGUUUGUUGCGUCGGGAGUGAAAACCAGGUGCUUAACACCUGGCCUGCUUUCGAUACGGGCAGACUAGAGGCAUUCAGGGGAGAACGGAAUUCCUGGUGUAGCGGUGAAAUGCGCAGAUAUCAGGAGGAACACCGGUGGCGAAGGCGGUUCUCUGGGAAUGUUCUGACGCUGAGGAGCGAAAGUGUGGGGAGCGAACAGGAUUAGAGACCCGCGUAGUCCCUGUCUCUUAUAC
RNAcentral lists this ribosomal RNA (301 nucleotides) under uncultured bacterium. Its description in RNAcentral is "partial 16S ribosomal RNA". It matches the Rfam family "Bacterial small subunit ribosomal RNA", at positions 509 to 807 of the family's 1533-position model. The record is from RNAcentral.